GGCGGCUGCCUUACACAUGCAAGUCGAACGGCAGCACGGGUGCUUGCACCUGGUGGCGAGUGGCGAACGGGUGAGUAAUACAUCGGAACAUGUCCKGUAGUGGGGGAUAGCCCGGCGAAGGCCGGAUUAAUACCGCMCACGAUCUACGGAUGAAAGCGGGGGACCUUCGGGCCUCGCGCUAURGGGUUGGCCGAUGGCUGAUUARCUAGUUGGUGGGGUAARGGCCUACCAAGGCGACCAUCARUAGCUGGUCUGAGAGGACGACCAGCCACACUGGGACUGAGACACGGCCCAGACUCCUACSGGAGGCAGCAGUGGGGAAUUUUGGACRAUGGGCGAAAGCCUGAUCCAGCAAUGCCGCGUGUGUGAAGAAGGCCUUCGGGUUGUAAAGCACUUUUGUCCGGAAAGAAAUCCUUGACUCUAAUACAGCCGGGGGAUGACGGUACCGGAAGAAUAAGCACCGGCAAACUACGUGCCAGCAGCCGCGGGUAAUACA
This 496-nucleotide ribosomal RNA is filed under the name bacterium SNB-CN25. RNAcentral's name for it is "bacterial SSU rRNA". It matches the Rfam family "Bacterial small subunit ribosomal RNA", at positions 38 to 527 of the family's 1533-position model. The record is from RNAcentral.